AUACACAAAAUAAAUCACCUAUCUCUCUAUGUUGCUAUUGGGACAUUUUCUCUCCGUGCAGAAGUAAUGCAAAAAAAAAAUUGGAAAAGUGGGAGUGAGGCCGAGAGCUAGCAUAGAUCUUCGAACGCUUCUAUAAAAGUCCAAUAAAGUGGAAUUAGGUUGGUGUCAGGUUAAACUCUUUCAAUACCUCCUUUUGAAAAUUGUUGAAGAGAAGACGAACAAACAGGUGUACAUGAAAAAGAAGUCGCUAGGCAAUUUUUUUUUUCCAUGAAAUACUCACUCGUUUCUUUUACAAACGAUGAGGUUGAAACACUUGGUGUCUCCGGGGAACUUCACAAAUCAAGUCCAUUUGGCCCACCAUUAUAGUUGUCAUCUCAUGCAGAAGUAGGUAACAUAUUCCUCCACCUCGCGGGACACCCAAUCAUAACCCGUAAUGACUGGGAGGGACUGAGCAAUCUCAUCCUUCUAAUUGGUCGUGUCAAUGUCUAAUGUGAUAAUGACCAUAGUAUCAUUAGUAGGUGUGGCCUUAUUUGUAUCCACACUAGCCACAUUAUCGAUUGAAUCUGUGUCUCACUCGAUUGGUUCCAAAAUCUUGAUUGG
Molecule: long non-coding RNA, 600 nt
Filed under: Vigna radiata
Lineage: Eukaryota; Viridiplantae; Streptophyta; Magnoliopsida; Fabales; Fabaceae
Description: long non-coding RNA (VRAD_LNC006046)
Source: RNAcentral